Molecule: long non-coding RNA, 998 nt
Filed under: Sorghum bicolor (sorghum)
Lineage: Eukaryota; Viridiplantae; Streptophyta; Magnoliopsida; Poales; Poaceae
Description: long non-coding RNA (SBIC_LNC017456)
Source: RNAcentral
AUCCUACUCUAAUAAGGCUUUUGAUAUCUGGAGCUCAUAGGUGGGAGAUAAAGUAUACAUACUCACAAGACAUUUAUUGUAUAGUCAAACCAUGGAUCCAAAGAAACAAAUCAAUAAGCCAAAUCAAGAUGUGCAUGUGUGGCGAAUGGUAUAUGGUGAUGAUGGUGAUAACAAUAGUGAAAUUCUAAUUCUACUUUUGCUCUUUGAGGGGAUACAUACCUUCCUUGCUCUUUGAAACUUUGUGAGGAGAAUGAGAUGCUCUCUCUUUUUCUUUUUCUUUUCUCUCAGGUGGGUAUUCUGUACCCCUAAUUCUACUGUCGGACACUUGUCCAUUUUUACCUCACGUCUCACUUUUUCUUUUCUUUCGAGGUUCCGGGCACUUGCCCCUUUUUUUUUCCUCGUAUCUUCUCCUUUUUUUAAAGAGCACUCAUCUCAUGAGAUAAUGUAGCAAGUGGUAGUAACCAAGAUAACUUGAGCAUUUAUUUCACAGGGGAAAAAUAGAAAUGUUUUUGCUAUUCUCUCCGGAUUAGGAGUAGAAUAUUUUUGGGUGGUUCUGGAGAUGGAAAUGGGUGGAUAUAUGUGGAUGCGUACUUCCGAAGUAGAAGCAGCAUGUGUGAGUGGACGUGCAAGUGAAUCUUGAUUUAACCACAUGACAAGCUCCUAAGGGUCUACACAGCUUGACCACACUCAAUGCUCAUAAGUAGUAAAAAGUAAAUGUGUGGCUCAAAGUCUAGCAAGCAUGUAUAUAUGGCUGUGGUAGGAAUUUAAACUCUCAUCAUACAGGAACUCAUCAUGUGUUAUUUUAAAGAUUUUCAAAGAUAAAAUUCUCCAGAAUUCUAGCGUCUCUAAGACGAGAUAAAUAGCAGCUCAACCUUCACAUAUCGUAUCCGUUAACCACUUAGACUUCAGAUCAAGUUUUCUUCCCACAAGUUUAGGUUUAGAGCAAGCUUUAAAUUAUAACAGUUAUGUCUAAACUUGAGAGAAAACUAAAAUUUUAA